GGUUCAAUUAUUGAAUUGAGAAGAUCGUAUCAAGCAUAUAAUGUAAUGCCAAGUUUAAGUAAAGCUUUGAAGCGUUAUGGUGUAUGAGAUUGGAGGAUGGCUCUAUUCGAGUAAAUGGGAUUCAGUUCUUUGCUUGCGUCAUUGCUGCUGAGAAUCUUUUGCAGAGUCUAGGAUGUUCUCGCAUGAAAUAUUAACUACCAGUCAAACUCUUAAAACUUGGAAGAUCAAAGAUGUUGCGAUCAGCCAACUCCUCCCAAUCAAGACUCAAGAUACAUUUUCCAUAUGUUGCAAGUAAAAUGUAGCCCCUAUCCUUUGGCUGAAACAGAUACAGGAUGAUUAGCAGCCUAUAGACUGGCCAGCCUCUGCUGCAAAUAACUGAAUUUAGACAAAGACAAGCAUGACAGCGAGGGUUUAUCGAUUUGUUCACAAAGCAUCAUUUGGCUUUCUUAAUUCCAAAAUAGAACUUUAUGGAUUUUUAGGAACCAACUUGUUAUCCUUCUGAAAAUGGCAACUUGUUCUGCUGGUGUCACAGAACUGCAGAAACUUCAGAACAACAUUUAUUGAGUUGCAGGUCAUUUAUUAUUGCUA
This is a long non-coding RNA of Capsicum annuum, 588 nucleotides long. RefSeq lists it as uncharacterized. The record is from RefSeq and is a predicted model, not a curated record. NCBI's taxonomy places the organism in Eukaryota, Viridiplantae, Streptophyta, Magnoliopsida, Solanales, Solanaceae. The transcript has 3 exons.